GGAAUAUUGGACAAUGGGCGAAAGCCUGAUCCAGCAAUGCCGCGUGAGUGAUGAAGGCCUUAGGGUUGUAAAGCUCUUUUACCCGGGAUGAUAAUGACAGUACCGGGAGAAUAAGCCCCGGCUAACUCCGUGCCAGCAGCCGCGGUAAUACGGAGGGGGCUAGCGUUGUUCGGAAUUACUGGGCGUAAAGCGCGCGUAGGCGGCUUUGUAAGUUAGAGGUGAAAGCCCGGGGCUCAACUCCGGAACUGCCUUUAAGACUGCAUCGCUAGAACGUUGGAGAGGUGAGUGGAAUUCCGAGUGUAGAGGUGAAAUUCGUAGAUAUUCGGAAGAACAUCAGUGGCGAAGGCGGCCUGCUGGGCUGUUGCUGACGCUGAGGCGCGACAGCGUGGGGAGCAAAC
RNAcentral lists this ribosomal RNA (398 nucleotides) under uncultured bacterium. RNAcentral describes it as "bacterial SSU rRNA". It matches the Rfam family "Bacterial small subunit ribosomal RNA", at positions 358 to 773 of the family's 1533-position model. The record is from RNAcentral.